This 255-nucleotide ribosomal RNA is filed under the name uncultured bacterium. RNAcentral describes it as "partial 16S ribosomal RNA". It matches the Rfam family "Bacterial small subunit ribosomal RNA", at positions 524 to 776 of the family's 1533-position model. The record is from RNAcentral.
UACGAAGGGGGGCUAGCGUUGCUCGGAAUCACUGGGCGUAAAGGGUGCGUAGGCGGGUCUUUAAGUCAGGGGGUGAAAUCCUGGAGCUCAACUCCAGAACUGCCUUUGAUACUGAGGAUCUUGAGUACGGGAGAGGUGAGUGGAACUGCGAGUGUAGAGGUGAAAUUCGUAGAUAUUCGGAAGAACACCAGUGGCGAAGGCGGCUCACUGGUCCGGUACUGACGCUGAGGUGCGAAAGCGUGGGGAGCAAACAGG